UUAUGGUUAAGCUACUAAGAGCACACGGAGGAUGCCUAGGCGCUAGGAGCCGAAGAAGGACGUGGCGAACAACGAAACUGCCUCGGGGAGCUGUAAGCAAGCAUCGAUCCGGGGGUGUCCGAAUGGGGAAACCCGGCUGGGGUAAUACCUAGUCACUCAUCACUGAAUCCAUAGGUGGUGAAGAGGCAUACCAGGGGAACUGAAACAUCUAAGUACCCUGAGGAAGAGAAAACAAAAGUGAUUCCGUCAGUAGCGGCGAGCGAACGCGGAUUAGCCUAAACCGAAGAGCUUGCUCUUCGGGGUUGUGGGACGUCUCACAUGGAGUUACAAAGGCAGAGGUUAGACGAACAGGUCUGGAAAGGCCGGCCAAAGAAGGUAAAAGCCCUGUAAUCGAAAGUCUCCGCCCUCCGAGACGGAUCCCGAGUAGUGCGGGGCACGUGAAACCCCGUAUGAAUCUGCCAGGACCAUCUGGUAAGGCUAAAUACUCCCUAGCGACCGAUAGUGAAGCAGUACCGUGAGGGAAAGGUGAAAAGCACCCCGGAAGGGGAGUGAAAGAGAACCUGAAACCGUGUGCUUACAAGAAG
This 584-nucleotide ribosomal RNA is filed under the name Paenibacillus macerans. Its description in RNAcentral is "partial 23S ribosomal RNA". It matches the Rfam family "Bacterial large subunit ribosomal RNA", at positions 1 to 573 of the family's 2925-position model. The record is from RNAcentral. Lineage: Bacteria; Bacillati; Bacillota; Bacilli; Caryophanales; Paenibacillaceae.